Molecule: small nuclear RNA, 24 nt
Filed under: Arabidopsis thaliana (thale cress)
Lineage: Eukaryota; Viridiplantae; Streptophyta; Magnoliopsida; Brassicales; Brassicaceae
Description: snRNA_02460
Source: RNAcentral
GCGACGCAAACAUUUAAAGAUGGU